CGGACUUAUAUCAAGACUUUAUCAAGUAUAAUGGAAGUAUAAUGGAAGUUCUAGUUCACAGCUAAUGAAUGCAAGUGGUUUCCUAGGCAGGUGCAAAUACUAACUAAAAUCCUAUGUUCUAGCAUGAUUUAAAGCCCCAAGCUCCAAAACCAUAAAUACUAUGCUUGUGCUGGGUGACCAACAAGUACUAAGGCUCAUUAAACUGACCAAUAAAGUUGACUUCAUCAAAAAGUUGUUGACUAGGGAAUGUGAUAUAACUAAGUGUAUGAUCAUAUAACAAAAAUAAGUAACAGAACUCCAGCAGUCUUUUCCCAAAUGUGCUCAAUUCCAGGUGUUCACAGUACAAUGUACCCACUUACUACUCUCAAGCUAGGUACAUCUGAAUUAUUGCACUUUGAACACCUGGAAUAAAGGCAUAUUUGGAUCAGAUGUGCAAGGGUUCAUUUCUGCUGAACUUUUUAUGAUAACAUAACCAAUUGUUUGAAGAAAAGCACAUCUGGUUGCUACAAUUGGUGCAUGGCUUUUUAGGAUUGGGUUUAGAAAUUAAAUCUGCCAGAUAUAACGGUGUAAAUGUAGUUGAUUAUCACAGUGCUGAAUUGCAUGCAAGACAUUCUUACAGGGACACUGUAAGCACCAUAACCACUUUAUCUCAUUCAAGGGAUUAUGAUGUCAGUAGUUGCUUAAUACCAUCCCACUGUUCAAUGUUAAACAUGUUUUCAAUUGAUUAAACCCUAAAUCAGGGUCUCUUGGUGCCUGUGGCUCCCCCACCCCCCUUCAUUCUAGGUAUGGCUAAUGUGAAGUGUAACUCAGCAUUAACCAAACCAACUGUUACAAUCUAUUGAGAGGUUGUGAGCUGACACUCUUAGCAUAUCACUGUCACUUGUCACUGGUCUGGCUAAUGAGAAAGCAUUGGCUCAAACUGCAGAGAGGG
This is a non-coding RNA of Pelobates cultripes (western spadefoot toad), 931 nucleotides long. Lineage: Eukaryota; Metazoa; Chordata; Amphibia; Anura; Pelobatidae. The record is from the annotation of a GenBank genome assembly.